CCAGCCGUAGCUCAGCUGGAUAGAGUACUCGGCUACGAACCGAGCGGUCGGAGGUUCGAAUCCUCCCGGAUGCACCA
RNAcentral lists this transfer RNA (77 nucleotides) under Salmonella enterica subsp. enterica serovar Enteritidis. RNAcentral's name for it is "tRNA-Arg". It matches the Rfam family "tRNA". From Rfam's summary of the family: Transfer RNA (tRNA) molecules are approximately 80 nucleotides in length. Their secondary structure includes four short double-helical elements and three loops (D, anti-codon, and T loops). The record is from RNAcentral. Lineage: Bacteria; Pseudomonadati; Pseudomonadota; Gammaproteobacteria; Enterobacterales; Enterobacteriaceae.